GAUGAACGCUGGCGGCGUGCUUUACACAUGCAAGUCGAACGAAGCAUUUAAGACAGAUUCCUUCGGUUUGAAGUCUUUUAUGACUGAGUGGCGGACGGGUGAGUAACGCGUGGGUAACCUGCCUCAUACAGGGGGAUAGCAGCUGGAAACGGCUGGUAAUACCGCAUAAGCGCACAGUACCACAUGGUACAGUGUGAAAAACUCCGGUGGUAUGAGAUGGACCCGCGUCUGAUUAGCUUGUUGGCGGGGUAACGGCCCACCAAGGCGACGAUCAGUAGCCGACCUGAGAGGGUGACCGGCCACAUUGGGACUGAGACACGGCCCAGACUCCUACGGGAGGCAGCAGUGGGGAAUAUUGCACAAUGGAGGAAACUCUGAUGCAGCGACGCCGCGUGAGUGAAGAAGUAGUUCGCUAUGUAAAGCUCUAUCAGCAGGGAAGAUAGUGACGGUACCUGACGAAGAAGCUCCGGCUAAAUACGUG
Molecule: ribosomal RNA, 481 nt
Filed under: uncultured bacterium
Lineage: Bacteria
Description: partial 16S ribosomal RNA
Rfam family: Bacterial small subunit ribosomal RNA
Source: RNAcentral